AUACGGAGGGUGCAAGCGUUAAUCGGAAUUACUGGGCGUAAAGAGUACGUAGGCGGCCUACUAAGUCAGAUGUGAAAGCCCAGGGCUCAACCUUGGAACUGCAUUUGAAACUGGUAGGCUAGAGUAUGGUAGAGGGGGGUAGAAUUUCUGGUGUAGCGGUGAAAUGCGUAGAUAUCAGAAGGAAUACCAGUGGCGAAGGCGGCCCCCUGGCCCAAUACUGACGCUGAGGUACGAAAGCGUGGGUAGCGAACGGGAUUAGAAACCCCAGUAGUCC
This 274-nucleotide ribosomal RNA is filed under the name uncultured bacterium. Its description in RNAcentral is "partial 16S ribosomal RNA". It matches the Rfam family "Bacterial small subunit ribosomal RNA", at positions 523 to 796 of the family's 1533-position model. The record is from RNAcentral.